GACGAACGCUGGCGGCGUGCUUAACACAUGCAAGUCGAACGAUGAAGCCGGAGCUUGCUCCGGUGGAUUAGUGGCGAACGGGUGAGUAACACGUGAGCAAUCUGCCCUUGACUCUGGGAUAACUGCGGGAAACUGUAGCUAAUACCGGAUACGACACCUUGGGGCAUCCCAGGGUGUGGAAAGAAUUUCGGUCAAGGAUGAGCUCGCGGCCUAUCAGCUAGUUGGUGAGGUAAUGGCUCACCAAGGCGACGACGGGUAGCCGGCCUGAGAGGGGGACCGGCGACACUGGAACUGAGACACGGUCCAGACUCCUACGGGAGGCAGCAGUGGGGAAUAUUGCACAAUGGGCGAAAGCCUGAUGCAGCAACGCCGCGUGAGGGAUGAAGGCCUUCGGGUUGUAAACCUCUUUUAGCAGGGAAGAAGCGAAAGUGACGGUACCUGCAGAAAAAGCACCGGCUAACUACGUGCCAGCCGCCGCGGUAA
This 483-nucleotide ribosomal RNA is filed under the name uncultured bacterium. RNAcentral describes it as "partial 16S ribosomal RNA". It matches the Rfam family "Bacterial small subunit ribosomal RNA", at positions 28 to 523 of the family's 1533-position model. The record is from RNAcentral.